GUGAGAAAUAAAUAGGUGAAGCAACAAAGAUGUGCUUCUUUCAUAAGUUCUCGAAGGUUAAACAAUUAUUGUAAUUAUAAGAUGUGUGUUUAUACAAGGAUAAAGCAUUUCCCGUUUAGAAAAUUGAUCUGUUAAAUUUGUGAUAAUUAACUAAGGAUCAGAUGGCCAGCCACAAAAUCAUAAUGCCAGUAAUGACAAGUGGGCAUUGAAAAAUUCAAAUGAGGAAUGGAG
RNAcentral lists this unclassified non-coding RNA (231 nucleotides) under Hevea brasiliensis (rubber tree). Lineage: Eukaryota; Viridiplantae; Streptophyta; Magnoliopsida; Malpighiales; Euphorbiaceae. The record is from RNAcentral.